Molecule: long non-coding RNA, 2676 nt
Organism: Egretta garzetta (little egret)
Lineage: Eukaryota; Metazoa; Chordata; Aves; Pelecaniformes; Ardeidae
Exons: 3
Source: RefSeq, a predicted model, not a curated record
GGCUUGAUAGGCGCUGGGGAGGGUUAGGCGGGGCGGACCGGGCCUUUCGUAAGGCCUCCGCGUUGGGGCCGGGGCACGUUGGUGUAGGGUCACCCCCCCCUCUCUUACUCCCUUGGUUUUGUUGCAUUUGGUUUCGUUUUGUUUAGAUUUUUUGCAGCUGCUUUUGUCGCACACAGAAUUACCUCACUUUCUGCUUUUUACGUGAAGGGAUGGAGUCCCGUCAGCCUCCGUAAGCGCUGGGCCCGCCUUGUGCCCCUUCCGCACGCGAGCUUCUCUCACCUCAACGCUGGCUCAGUCCUGCUGCCGCUGACUCUGCCCCUGCGGGACUUCCCGCCCCUCCGCGGGAGGAACGCGGCUGCCCCUUCCCGGGGCGGGAGCCCGGGCGCCGCCCGGAGGGGACCCAGCCGCCCGCCCGCCUUCCCCAGGUGACCGGGGGGGAUGGGAGGUCGCUCACUGCCCGAGCUCUGACAUGCAUCACAGCGGCUUGAAGGAAUUCUUGAGAGGGAUAGAGAGGAUGCGCUGCCUGCGGAGAGGCUUUUUCUUCAGUUGCUUGUGAAACAUCUAGCGUUGACACCGUAGCGUGCUAUCUCUGAGGUAUCCCAGUCACAAGCAGAACCCAGUUGGGCUUCUGGUAUAAAGAAAACAAAAUGAUGCCUUCCCCAAAAGGCUUACGGUUGCUCUUUGCACCUCCUUGAAAUGCAGCAACAUUAAAUAGCUUUUUUAAAGUUUGAUAAACUGCUGGAGAAGAUGCUGCGUUAAACCCCAUAUUCUGUUCUAGCAUCGUACACUGAGGCAUAUUCAGGCAAUUCUUUAUACCCACUUAAAUAGUAGGGGACCAUUCUGUUUAAGAGCAAGCCAAGGAGUUUUUAGAUUCAGGGUAUCCACAGAGUGCCAUCAGUUUGAGCUUUUAUCCCUGUUUUCCUUGUUUGAUACAGUCAUAAAACAUGGAAUCUAAGUCACUUUCAGACUGAAAAUAUUUUAAAGCUUGGUAUUUAGAAUGCAAGGUUUUCCAGAAGGACAAAAGCAGAAUCUGUUGAUGAAGCAAGGUCAUGCUUGUUAGAUAUUUUAAACGACAGAGAUUUAAAUUACUAUGAUUAAUUAGAAAGUUGACUGCUCAAAUUAAACAAUCAGUUCCUUUGUCUUUGGACAGGAUUUUAAAUACUGAACAUUAGUCAUCAGUCAUGUGAGGAUUUAAACAAGCACUUAGCUUUAUGCAAUUUGAGUGAUUAGUUCUAUUCAAGUGAAUAGUACUGUGCAGAGCGUGUAAGGUUUAGCACAUCUCAAACCCCCAAUUGUACAAAGCUUUAACAUGUGACCCGAAAAGUGAUUUUUUUUUUUUCAAGGCUGUUUCCUAAGAAACAGUGUUUAUGCAGUCACACGUGUCUAUCAUCUACUUGUUCCCCAUCAUCGGGGGAAGGGGAAUGGUCACCAGCUUGUUGGCCAAUUUCAGCUAGUUUUCACAGACGAAUGGAAAUUUCAAAACUAAUUUAGCUUGUACAUACUUGGUGAAAAUAGGUGGCUCUGUAUAAGAGAGAUCUUUUACUUGCAUAAUGAAAGCAGCUGCAGGAACUGAAAUAUUAGACAUUACAAAACCUUUAUUUAGAUGAAUAAGAGAAAACAUAAUACCUAAUUAACCCACUUAGACAAAAAGGUUCAGUUAAGACUUAUGACCAACCCAAAGGUGAGCCAUUACUGAGUUUUGUUGGGUGUUCAGGGUGCUUUUAGAGGAAAAGAAAACAAAUCUAAAUCUCUUGUGGGCAUUAUCUGAGGUCUGCUAAUGAAGACCUGUGGUUUAAUACCGAGUUCACCAUUAAAAAAGGGGGAGUGUCAAAUGUCUGCUUGAAUAAAGCUUACCUUUUGGGAGCGUGCUUGCUUAGGUCCUGCAAAGUUCAUCUUCAUUUGGGUGUUCAUCUGCUGCACUCUCUUCCUGGAACCAAAAAUGUUCAUCUUAGAAGAACCUGUAUAUAAAACCAGUGAUAUGCCUACACAUACGUAUCCCUCUGUUUUCUGUUAGCAAAAUAGGAUGAUAACCAACAUACAUUGAUAGUGUAGCCUAGAAAAUAAGGUUAAAGGCUUUGUGCUGCUUUUUUCCUUUGCUUUCUAGCAUAAAAAUGGGAAUAGAAGCUCAAAGGCAUUUAGAGACCACCUACCACAGAAAUUAAGCUGUAACGUGGGAGGAAAUAGAUCAUAAAUAUCACCAUAUAUGAAAGAAAUGAAAGAUACCAGAAUGGAAAAAAUAUCAGGGCUGAAUCUGGCUGGGUUAUUUGGAUGCUGCAUGCUGCCAGGAAUUGUGGAAUCGUCGAACCCAGCAGGGUCCCCGUCUGGUGUAGGGUUGACAAAGUGGUUGUUACCUGUUACCAGCUGCAGCUCUUGAGCUGAGACAGAGUUCUGUAGGUCAGAUGCUGCUCUGGGCUCCGUGGGAAUCCCUGAGUUUGGCACCUUUUCUUCAUGGGGAAUAAAAAUACGGUGUAUCAACCAUACAGCAUCAAAGAAAACUAUUACUCGGAACAGUGAGCAAUAAUCCUCCCACACUGAUUAUCAUUGCCUGUAGUCUUACACAGUGGAAGAUAACUGUUGAUGCAAGCUUGCAGUCUUGUCAAAUGAAGGAGUUUGGAGAGUAAUAUAAGUAUGGAAAUACAAACUCUGGUGAUUUUAUACCACACAGAAAUCAGUAGU